This 76-nucleotide transfer RNA is filed under the name Myxococcales bacterium. RNAcentral's name for it is "tRNA-Val". It matches the Rfam family "tRNA". From Rfam's summary of the family: Transfer RNA (tRNA) molecules are approximately 80 nucleotides in length. The record is from RNAcentral. Lineage: Bacteria; Pseudomonadati; Myxococcota; Myxococcia; Myxococcales.
GGUCCUGUAACUCAGUUGGUAGAGUGUCUCCCUUACAAGGAGAAAGUCACAAGUUCGAGUCUUGUCGGGACCACCA